This is a long non-coding RNA of Beta vulgaris subsp. vulgaris (sugar beet), 3226 nucleotides long. RefSeq lists it as uncharacterized. NCBI's taxonomy places the organism in Eukaryota, Viridiplantae, Streptophyta, Magnoliopsida, Caryophyllales, Amaranthaceae. The record is from RefSeq and is a predicted model, not a curated record. The transcript is spliced from 2 exons.
AAUUCAUAGAAUUUCAAAUGUUGAAUUUCAAAUUCAAAUACUGUUUUGGCAAACCAAGUUAAAUUUUAGAAUUGUAAUUCGAUCCUACAACCAACAAAAUAGAACUACUAAUCACUAAUACAUAAUAAAAUCCAGUCUAACUUUUGCUCCUCCGGUAGAUCUUCAUCGUUGUCCCUUGCACGUUUCCUUGACUCUUGUAUACUCACCUCAUCCGACAUUUUUCAAAUUUAUGUGUAAAAGAUUGGCAAUAUUCAUUUGGAAUAAGUAUAAAUUUUCCUCAAUGUACAUACAACAGUAACUAACUAUUUGGUGAUCUGCUUUAUUAUAUUACCAAUGAUAGCAACUGAAAUUCUUAGCAACUUGAAAUACCUUUCUCCUUUUAUAUCUAGUAAAAAGCUUCAUGAUAAAUAUUGUUUUUAUUCCCAUGUUAAUGCUCUUAAGAUUUGCGUCACUUUACUACAUUUUUGGUGUAUAUAACAGCAAUAAAAUUACUAGUUUGCACUGGGCAAGAGCACAAUUAUGUUUACACCCAUUCAUCUUAUGAUAAAUGCAAAUAACCAAGUAGGCUGUCUAUUUAGCAAAUUACAGUCCAAUAUGACGGCUUUACUAGGCUGUUGGUGAACCCAUAGGAGAACAAAUACUGUGGUACUUAAAUUGUCCAAAUCAUGAGCAUACUAAUAGUGUGUUUGGUUCAUUUUUAGUAAAGGAAAGAAAGGGAAGAGAAAGGAAGAGAAGAGAAAGGAAAAGAAUGGAAGAGAGAAAAAAAACCUUAAUUUCCCAUGUUUGGUAUAAAUUUUCUCUUUCCUUCCGAAUUCCCCCGCUUUUGGGAGGAAAGGAAAGUGAAAUUUUAUUAAAGAUUCUUUCCUUCCAAUUCCUCCCAUUUCCUUUCACUUAAUUUUUUUUAAUGAACCAAAUAUUGAAAAGUAAUAAAUUUCCUUCCACUUCCUUUCCUUUCCUUCCAAAUUCCUUCUACCAACCAAACAAACUGUAAAAGAAUCUAAGAACAAAUUAAAAUCAGUGUUACAAGAUCAGCAACUGAAAACUUCCAUAUCUUAAUGUUACAGAAGAGCGUGCAAGAAAUUAUUUGAUUACAACCAGCAAUAACAUUAUUAGUUUGCAGUUGGUCUCUCUAUUUGCAAGCUGAGAAGCAAAGACUAAAAAAAACCCUAAUUAAUCUCAAGAUGUAAAUAAAUAAUAUAUAGAAUCGAAAAUUGAAUCAAUUACACAAACCUAAAACAAUAUUUAUAACUCAACCAUAAACAAUCUCGCAGCAAAUUCAAGGUAAAAAAGUUAAGAAUUGAGAAACUAACCUUAAAAAUAAGAUUUCGCAAUGUAGGAGGAGAGAGAAAGCUCGUGAUGUGUUGAGGAGAGAGAAAGCUCGCGAUGUGUUGAGGAGAGAGAAAGCUUGAGGGAGACAAUGAAAACGAGUUACCGAAGAACCAUGAAACCAGAUAUCCGAGCUCGAAAAAUCUCCAAUGGAAGAGAGAGAAAAUGAGUAAAUAGUUUUGUCGUGAUGUUUUGGAGAUGAAGAGAUGAGGUUUGGAUUUCAAAUGAUAGUAAUUUACCAUGGAUUUCAAAUGAUAUGGGCUGAGGUAUAUUUAAUAUGUGUAGGGAAUUGGGCCCAAAUCCAAUUCCAAAUAUUUUAGAUUGCCAAACAUGUGAAUUGGCCCAAUUACAGCAUUUCAAAUGAAAUGUUUGUAUCCAAACAGGCCAUUAAAGAAUUUGAGAAAGUUACCUGAUAUAAAAAUGCAUCUUGGCUUAGGGCUAUACUAACUCUUGUUGAAUAUUGGGAGGUAUAGUUGAUUCUUCGGCUCAAUAUGUCCACUAGAUUGAAAUUUCUGCAUUUUGAUAUUAAGUGUCAUAAAAUUAUUGUUUAGCUUGAAGUGUCGUAAGUCUAGUAACAGCUUUGCAGAAGUUACAUCAUUUUUCAUUUCAUUUAAUGGGCUGAUAAUUUGAGAUGAUUUCGAGUGACUUCCCAUUUUCUGUUGGAAGAUACAAAGGAAAUAGUUUUGUUUAGGAAAGCAAUGAGGUAUUUGUUGGGGAAUUAAACCAAUUAUCUCUGUGCUAUUAGGUGGUCUUGCUUAGGUUCCUAAUCUGCGCAUUUCUCCUUGUUCUGUAGGUUAUGCAGUUCUGCUGACUUGGCCGUUUCCACUUUCAUAAUUUAUCGCCAAUAGGAUAAAGUUUAAAUGCCCAUUGAGGAUUUUUUUUGUCAAUGGACUCCAUUUUAUAGUGGAAUAAAUUCAUGAGUGAUUUUAGAAUUUGACAUGAAUAUAGAAGUUGAUUUGGUUGUUGAUUUUAGAAUUAGAGCUGGGCACUUGGACUGAGAUGCACGGACACUUUCUUGAGAUUUUGGUGCUGAGACUUGAGAAAAGGAUGUAUGAUUUGAAGAGGCAAUUUGUUGGCGGAGAGCUUAGAUUUGUUGGGGAAAAUACAAAUGAGAAGUUCGUAGAAAGAGAAAGGUCGAAUACCAAACGGUUUGGUAGCGAACAAGAGAGAUCGGGAUACUUUGGUUAUUCCACUUAUGUGGACCCAUAUUUAAUUAUCUCUAAUUCUUUAUUGUUUGGUGGCAAACCGUUUGUUGUUUAGGCACACUCUUUUCAGUAGUUACUACAUUCGAUAUAUAACUAUAUAUUGAAAAGUGCUAUUUGUACUUAUGAUGUCUCUGGAAUGAAGAAAUUUGAAGAGAUUGGAAGGAGAUGUAGAUUGCGGGAAGAGAAGGGGAGGGAAAUGAAGCAAUAUAAUUUCCUCUCUUCCACCUCCUUAAGUUGGAAAGAACCAGAGGGAAACUACAAGUCAAGGUCUCCCUCCCUUGAUCUUCUUUUCCCUUUCGCCCCCUUCCCUCUUACAUUGGUGUCCAAUUACACUGUUCAUGUUUAGAAGGUAAAGUCAAGCAAUUUCUGAUCACCAAAAGGAUUUGAUUCCAUAGUGGUUCCAAAACCACUCCUUGUGACACACCUCCAUUUUUUUCAUUACAUGCAUUUCUGAAUUGGCAUAGAUAUUUAGAGGGGAGAGCGAGAAAGAGAGUGAUAAAAGAUACAGGACCCAUGUGAUGAAGGGGAGAGUGAGUAAUAAAAGUUUGCUGAGGAGGGAAAUGUUGCAUAUAUUCUUUGAACAUCCAGAAAUGGGAAAUGUUGCACGUAUUAAUAAGUGCAGGAAGUAUAUGUUUGGAGAUGAUUACUUGCAUACCUCAGGAAACUUGACUUUGCCUCGUACAAGUGAGGUACAU